UACGGAGGGUGCAAGCGUUAUCCGGAAUCACUGGGUUUAAAGGGUGCGUAGGCGGCUGUAUAAGUCAGGGGUGAAAGGCUACAGCUUAACUGUGGAAUUGCCUUUGAUACUGUAUAGCUUGAAUAAGGAUGAGGUUGGCGGAAUGUGGCAUGUAGCGGUGAAAUGCAUAGAUAUGCCAUAGAACACCAAUUGCGAAGGCAGCUAACUGGGCCUUUAUUGACGCUGAGGCACGAAAGCGUGGGGAUCAAACAGG
This 253-nucleotide ribosomal RNA is filed under the name uncultured bacterium. RNAcentral describes it as "partial 16S ribosomal RNA". It matches the Rfam family "Bacterial small subunit ribosomal RNA", at positions 524 to 776 of the family's 1533-position model. The record is from RNAcentral.